Molecule: long non-coding RNA, 1220 nt
Organism: Prunus persica (peach)
Lineage: Eukaryota; Viridiplantae; Streptophyta; Magnoliopsida; Rosales; Rosaceae
Exons: 3
Source: RefSeq, a predicted model, not a curated record
ACUUGACAGGAAGGCUUUCCUUGAGCAACGAGUUUCUUCAUUUUUGGUCUAAAGACCAAACUUUGGUUUGAAGAAAAGUUGCUGGCACAAAAUGUGCAUCCAUUUUAACUUUGACUUCUCCUUUUUCAUAUGGAAAGUCUCUCUUCUUCUCUUUUGAAUUUUGUUACCUUUCUUCUUCUUUGUUUUGGGCUUAUGUUGCUCUUGGGUUCUUCAAUAGCCGCAACGCAGGAGGCUUCUUAGCCUGAAAUUGACUCAUAUCAUUUGAGAGGACCAUCAUACUGCCAAUUGAGGUGCUGGCUUUGUUUUGUUUCAGUUGCUUCAUAUUUUGCAAGCAACAAAGUGAGAAUCUUUUGCAAUUUGUUGCAGAGGAGUGUUGUCUUAGUGACCUUCAUGGGUGUGAAUCAUCAACUUCUCACAUUUUGCCACCCGUUCUUUCUCCAAUUUGCAGAUUUGGAAUUUUGCUCUGCUGAAGGUGGGUUGGGCAUAUAACAAAGCGUCUGGACUAUUGAUGUUUUCUGUUUUUGGUACUCAAGAACACUCGCAAGGUCUUCUCUGAGUACCACAAUGUGCCUAUGGACACUCACAAGGUGUUCACAGCACUUGUACAGUGGGGUUCUUGCAGAAGCCCAUCUGUAAUUCACAACAGAGAGGUCCUUGUGAGAGCUCUCUUUGUGUAAGUAGCACAGCUAUUGCCAAUUUGGGAGGAUUUGUUUGCAUUUUUCCACUGCUGAAGUCUCCGUUGAUAUGAUACAUUUCUUGAUAUCACACAUGGAGGAAGUUCAGGCUUCUGUACAAUGGCCUCACAUACAUAUUUUUUUACCUGCAAGUCAAUUGUACAUAAAAGGAUACUCAAAUGAAUUUGUUUAUACCUUCUCAAUGGUAUUGUGACAGAGCUUCGUAUGUCUUUUGCUUGCUUCUAUUCUUUGGAUUUAUGCAACAGUUCGAUGUGUUCUUUUUUUUUUCCUUCCUAUGGAUUUCUGCAGCAGUUUGGUACUUUUUUUUCUUCUUCGUCGUCCCCCCUUUUUUUGCAUCCUUUGGUCCCUUUUUAUAGACCAAGAGGAACUGACAUAAUGGAGUCAGUUAUCGCCUCACGUACUAUAUGGGUGGGAGUAACUUCCCAUUUUCAGUCACUCCUCAACGUACAUGUUCUGUUACUGCUUAAUAUUUUCUUGUAAAAAUAUUAAUAUUAAUUCAUUUGGGCCUAAACCAAUUUAGCAACA